GAUGAACGCUGGCGGCGUGCCUAAUACAUGCAAGUCGAGCGAACAGACGAGGAGCUUGCUCCUCUGACGUUAGCGGCGGACGGGUGAGUAACACGUGGAUAACCUACCUAUAAGACUGGGAUAACUUCGGGAAACCGGAGCUAAUACCGGAUAAUAUAUUGAACCGCAUGGUUCAAUAGUGAAAGACGGUUUUGCUGUCACUUAUAGAUGGAUCCGCGCCGCAUUAGCUAGUUGGUAAGGUAACGGCUUACCAAGGCGACGAUGCGUAGCCGACCUGAGAGGGUGAUCGGCCACACUGGAACUGAGACAAGGUCCAGACUCCUAAGGGAGGCAGCAGUAGGGAAUCUUCCGCAAUGGGCGAAAGCCUGAAGGAGCAACGCCGCGUGAGUGAUGAAGGUCUUCGGAUCGUAAAACUCUGUUAUUAGGGAAGAACAAAUGUGUAAGUAACUAUGCAAGUCUUGACGGUACCUAAUCAGAAAGCCACGGCUAACUACGUG
RNAcentral lists this ribosomal RNA (497 nucleotides) under uncultured bacterium. RNAcentral describes it as "partial 16S ribosomal RNA". It matches the Rfam family "Bacterial small subunit ribosomal RNA", at positions 28 to 507 of the family's 1533-position model. The record is from RNAcentral.